CUCGCGGCCUAUCAGCUUGUUGGUGAGGUAAUGGCUCACCAAGGCGUCGACGGGUAGCCGGCCUGAGAGGGUGACCGGCCACACUGGGACUGAGACACGGCCCAGACUCCUACGGGAGGCAGCAGUGGGGAAUAUUGCACAAUGGGCGGAAGCCUGAUGCAGCAACGCCGCGUGAGGGAUGACGGCCUUCGGGUUGUAAACCUCUUUUAGCAGGGAAGAAGCGAAAGUGACGGUACCUGCAGAAAAAGCGCCGGCUAACUACGUGCCAGCAGCCGCGGUAAUACGUAGGGCGCAAGCGUUAUCCGGAAUUAUUGGGCGUAAAGAGCUCGUAGGCGGUUUGUCGCGUCUGCUGUGAAAUCCCGAGGCUCAACCUCGGGCCUGCAGUGGGUACGGGCAGACUAGAGUGCGGUAGGGGAGAUUGGAAUUCCUGGUGUAGCGGUGGAAUGCGCAGAUAUCAGGAGGAACACCGAUGGCGAAGGCAGAUCUCUGGGCCGUAACUGACGCUGAGGAGCGAAAGGGUGGGGAGCAAACAGGCUUAGAUACCCUGGUAGUCCACCCCGUAAACGUUGGGAACUAGUUGUGGGGACCAUUCCACGGUUUCCGUGACGCAGCUAACGCA
This 619-nucleotide ribosomal RNA is filed under the name Microbacterium sp. RNAcentral describes it as "bacterial SSU rRNA". It matches the Rfam family "Bacterial small subunit ribosomal RNA", at positions 230 to 859 of the family's 1533-position model. RNAcentral also lists the same sequence under 1 other name. Lineage: Bacteria; Bacillati; Actinomycetota; Actinomycetes; Micrococcales; Microbacteriaceae. The record is from RNAcentral.